Molecule: ribosomal RNA, 465 nt
Filed under: Vreelandella stevensii
Lineage: Bacteria; Pseudomonadati; Pseudomonadota; Gammaproteobacteria; Oceanospirillales; Halomonadaceae
Description: partial 16S ribosomal RNA
Rfam family: Bacterial small subunit ribosomal RNA
Source: RNAcentral
CCUACGGGUGGCAGCAGUGGGGAAUAUUGGACAAUGGGGGCAACCCUGAUCCAGCCAUGCCGCGUGUGUGAAGAAGGCCCUCGGGUUGUAAAGCACUUUCAGUGAGGAAGAACGCCUGGUGGUUAAUACCCAUCAGGAAAGACAUCACUCACAGAAGAAGCACCGGCUAACUCCGUGCCAGCAGCCGCGGUAAUACGGAGGGUGCGAGCGUUAAUCGGAAUUACUGGGCGUAAAGCGCGCGUAGGUGGCUUGAUAAGCCGGUUGUGAAAGCCCCGGGCUCAACCUGGGAACGGCAUCCGGAACUGUCCAGCUAGAGUGCAGGAGAGGAAGGUAGAAUUCCCGGUGUAGCGGUGAAAUGCGUAGAGAUCGGGAGGAAUACCAGUGGCGAAGGCGGCCUUCUGGACUGACACUGACACUGAGGUGCGAAAGCGUGGGUAGCAAACAGGAAUAGAUACCCGUGUAGUC